AUUGAGUCAUUACAGAAGGACUUGGAUAGCAGACAGGCUUGGGCAGAGUUGUGGCAGAUGAAAUUUAAUGUCAGUAAAUGUAAAGAAUUACACAUAGGAAGUAAAAAUGUGAGGUUUGAAUACACAAUGGGCGGUCGGAAAAAUCGAGAGUCCACCUUAUGAGAAGGAUUUAGGAGUCAUAGUGGACUCUAAGCUAUCGACUACCAGACAGUGUUCAGAAGCCAUUAAGAAGGCUAACAGAAUGUCAGGUUAUAUAGCACCUUGAUGUGUGGAGUACAAGUCACAGGAGGUUCUGCUCAACCUUUAUAACACACUGGUGAGGCCUCAUCUGGAGUCCUGUGUGCAGUUUGGGUCUCCAGGCUACAAAAAGGACAUAGCAGCACUAGAAAAGGUCCAGAGAAGAGCGACUAGGCUGAUUCCAGGGCUACAGGGGAUGAGUUAUGAGGAAAGAUUAAAAGAGCUGAGCCUUUACA
Erpetoichthys calabaricus (reedfish) is the source of this 473-nucleotide long non-coding RNA. RefSeq lists it as uncharacterized. The transcript has 2 exons. The record is from RefSeq and is a predicted model, not a curated record. NCBI's taxonomy places the organism in Eukaryota, Metazoa, Chordata, Cladistia, Polypteriformes, Polypteridae.